GUACUGCUGAGGAGUCCCAAAAUAGGACGAAACGGCCGUCCAGUGC
This is a non-coding RNA of Schistosoma haematobium, 46 nucleotides long. NCBI's taxonomy places the organism in Eukaryota, Metazoa, Platyhelminthes, Trematoda, Strigeidida, Schistosomatidae. The record is from Rfam.